This 1060-nucleotide ribosomal RNA is filed under the name marine metagenome. RNAcentral's name for it is "bacterial SSU rRNA". It matches the Rfam family "Bacterial small subunit ribosomal RNA", at positions 8 to 1076 of the family's 1533-position model. The record is from RNAcentral.
AGAGUUUGAUCCUGGCUCAGGACGAACGCUGGCGGUGCGCCUUAUGCAUGCAAGUCGAGCGAAGCUUUUCAGUAGUUUACUACAGAAAAUGACUGAGCGGCGAACGGGUGAGUAACGCGUGAGCAACCUACCUUAGUUACUGGGAUAGCCCGAGGAAACUCGGAUUAAUACCGGAUAUUCUUAUUUAAUCACAUGAUUUUUUAAGGAAAGGUCAGCCGAACUAAGAUGGGCUCGCGUUCUAUCAGCUAGUUGGUAGGGUAAUGGCCUACCAAGGCUACGACGGAUAGCUGGUCUGAGAGGACGAUCAGCCACACUGGGACUGAGACACGGCCCAGACUCCUACGGGAGGCUGCAGCAGGGAAUAUUGCGCAAUGAGCGAAAGCUUGACGCAGCGACACCGCGUGUGGGAUGACGGAUCUAGGUUUGUAAACCACUUUCAGGAGGGAAGAAAAUGACGGUACCUCCACAAGAAGCCCCGGCCAACUACGUGCCAGCAGCCGCGGUAAUACGUAGGGGGCGAGCGUUGUCCGGAUUUAUUGGGCGUAAAGAGCUCGUAGGCGGUUCAACAAGUCGGUCGUGAAAGUUCAGGGCUCAACCCUGAAAUGUCGAUCGAUACUGUUGUGACUAGGAUACGGUAGAGGUGAGUGGAAUUCCGAGUGUAGCGGUGAAAUGCGUAGAUAUUCGGAGGAACACCAAUUGCGAAGGCAGCUCACUGGGCCGCUAUCGACGCUGAGGAGCGAAAGCUAGGGGAGCAAACAGGAUUAGAUACCCUGGUAGUCCUAGCUGUAAACGAUGGAUACUAGACGUAGGAAUUGGAUUAACGAUUUCUGUGUCGUAGCUAACGCGUUAAGUAUCCCGCCUGGGGAGUACGGUCGCAAGACUAAAACUCAAAGGAAUUGACGGGACCCCGCACAAGCGGCGGAGCAUGCGGCUUAAUUCGAUGAUACCCGUAGAACCUUACCUGGACUUGACAUAUAGGGAAAAGUUAUAGAAAUAUAAUGUGCAUUAGCGCCCUAUACAGGUGGUGCAUGGCUGUCGUCAGCUCGUGUCGUGAGAUGUU